Molecule: transfer RNA, 85 nt
Filed under: Paulinella chromatophora
Lineage: Eukaryota; Cercozoa; Imbricatea; Euglyphida; Paulinellidae
Description: tRNA-Ser
Rfam family: tRNA
About the family: Transfer RNA (tRNA) molecules are approximately 80 nucleotides in length. Their secondary structure includes four short double-helical elements and three loops (D, anti-codon, and T loops).
Source: RNAcentral
GGAGGGGUGGUCGAGUGGUCGAUGGCUCCGGUCUUGAAAACCGGCGAGGCGAAAGUCUCCGUGGGUUCGAAUCCCACCCCCUCCG